RNA transcript from Humulus lupulus (European hop), 1722 nucleotides. RefSeq lists it as uncharacterized. The transcript is spliced from 6 exons. Lineage: Eukaryota; Viridiplantae; Streptophyta; Magnoliopsida; Rosales; Cannabaceae. The record is from RefSeq and is a predicted model, not a curated record.
CUCCUUUCUUUUUCUUUCUCUCCAGCCGUUGCCUUCCCUCUCUCUCAUUCCAUCUCCAUCUCCAUCUCUGUCUUCCAGUGGGCUAAAGGAGGCAACGAGGCUUGCAGUGCAAGGUGGGACGGGGAGGCUAGCGACGCAAGGUGGGAUGGCGGGUUGGUUUCAUGUUCGGCGAGGCUAGGUUCAGCGAUGGGGUCGGGCUGUACAGCGGUAGGAGGCUCGGGGCUGGGCUCGACGGCGGGUGAGGGGGUCUCCGGUCUGUGCUCAAUGGCGCAGGGGGGACGGGGUCGGGCUGUACAGCGGCAGGGAGAAUAUUCAGGUAUACUUUGUCCUAUUUUUGCAGAGAUAGUUCCUGGGAAGUCACGAACUAGCGUGUAUGCAUUGGACAGGUCUUGUGAGUCCGUACUCUCAUCAUUUGCUCCCCCUGUAGUCGGGUUAUUGGCACAACAUGUUUAUGGUUAUAGAUCGGUUGAUAAAGGGUCCUCUGCAUCUGAAGAGAUUGCCAAAGAUAGGGGAAAUGCUGCGUCUUUGGCCAAGGCACUGUACACAGCAAUAGGAGUUUCGAUGGCUCUCUGUUGUCUUAUGUACUCAUUCCUGUAUUCAACCUAUCCAAGAGAUCGGGAGCGAGCUCAAAUGGAAGCUUUGACAGAAUCAGAGAUGCUGCAAAUAAGAUUGGAAUUACCUGCAGAUGGGCAACAUCCUCAUCAAGUUCUGUUAUUCGAGUCAGGAGAACCAUAUUUGGAGGAAAGAACCGUAAUCGAACCAGAGAAGAUAGGAUAUGACAGGAAAAAGAAUACCUUGUUUGUGUCAUUUCCUAGCCAAUAGUGAAUGUCAUGCAGAGGAGGCCCACUUUUACGUUGGUCAGGCUGUACGGCGGCGGGUGGGGGAGUCUCGGGUCUAGGUUCGAUGGCGCAGGGGCUGGGCAUUUUCUCAGUCCAUUCCGUCGUCACUCAGGAACUGGCACCUGAAUCAGACCAAGCUCAACAAACUGCCCAAGACACUGGAGAGAUUUUUACAGAUUCAGGUGCCUCGCAGGAGGGCAGAAGUGCAGAAAAAGGGAAAGAAAAGGAAGAAAAGGAUAAGGAGAAGAGUAAAGACCCUGAAAAAGAGAGAGAAAGGGAAAGAAAAAAAUGCUGAUAAGAAAGGAGACACUGAAAAAGAGAAAUUAAAAAGUAUUGAAGGGACAAAUUUAGAUGCCUUAUUGCAGAGGCUUCCAAGUUGUGUGAGCCGUGAUCUUAUAAAUCAAUUGACAGUAGAUUUGUUACUUGAAUUCAAAAGCAAGUCGAAAAAAGCUUGUGAGGGCAUUGUUUAAUGUUCCAAGGACUUCAUUGGAACUGCUAUCAUACUAUCCACGCAUGGUUGCCACAUUAUCAACAUGCAUGAAAGAUGUUUCUUCCAUGCUCCUACAAAUGCUAGAAGAGGAGUUUCAUUUCUUAAUUAAUAAAAAGGCUAAAUAUUUACUUGGAUAUUUAAGAGAACCAAGACAAUUAUAUAAGUGAACCAAGGCAACAAGAAAUUCUUCUUCAAGUUGUUGGGUAUUAUUUUCUUUCUUACUUGUAAGAAUUAUGUAUAGUGAGAUUUGAUGUAUUAUUUACAUUGAGAAUAAUGAAUUUUUAUUGAGAAUUAUUUAGUCUCUUGGGGAUUUGAUGUAUUGUUUACAUUUCAAUUAUAUGAAUAAAUGUUGUAUGUAUAUGGAUUUUUAUUAUAAAUAUAAUUUUUUUACAA